This 2000-nucleotide unclassified non-coding RNA is filed under the name Leishmania donovani. RNAcentral's name for it is "gene:unknown". The record is from RNAcentral. Lineage: Eukaryota; Euglenozoa; Kinetoplastea; Trypanosomatida; Trypanosomatidae.
CGUUUUAGUUGUGCUCACACGCUAUCCAUCACUCCAUGCACCCUUGAGACAUCCGAAGGAACGUACAGGCUCUGUGGUUGCUGAUGUUGCUAGAGAGCGCCGCACUCUGGAACGCCGCCGAUGCGUGGCCUGUGGCGUCGUCAUAGUUCCUCUUCGCUUCCCUGUUGCAAUCCCUAGUAGUCACUCGGUUCUAGUUCGGCAGCGUCUACCUUCCGCUACAUGGAUGAAGUGAUUACGCGAGUGCAUGCGCGCCAUCGCUUGCAGAGCAGCACCGCAGCGAUGUCACCUCGUCAGCUGCGCCAGGUAGCACCCCUUAUCACGCAGCCACCACCACCUCAUUCAGGCGGUACCUCUAGUAAGCUGUAUUACGACACGCCUGAGGAGAGUGCCAGCUACUCGGCCGAAGAGAUCUCACUUUCCCAUGCAUUGCUGCACACCAUCGGUGAGGAAAAAAGAGUUGAGCAAGUGGGUGCGACCAACUGGAAGGCGUUUCCGGAGGUGCAGCUUGGGCUCUCGUCGCAACGGCUCCUCUGUGCAGCGACACCGAGAUGCCAGCCCGCCAAGCGCUGUGGCGUUGCCACCGGAGAGGGAGUUGCUGUACGGUCCUCGGCGGCGCUUUCACGCCGCCGCGGCAGGAAGUGCGAACCCCGCCAAACGCGUGCAGCGGGCCGAGACGGCGUGGCGGUCAGUGAAAAAGAACACAAAUUCGCUGUCUCAUCGGCGAGCACCGCCGUCAUGACCAGCAGCAACAUCACCUGUAGGGCCACAUUCUCACCGGAUUCCGAUGCAGAUCACCGAAGGUGUGAAUGGCUUCAAGAGGAUGCAGCCAAGGCGGUGUCGCUACACAGUUCCGAGAAGAGAUUGAGCAGUGCCCUGUCGCCCUUCGCUUCAGCAGGAACCACCUCGGGAGAGCUGAUCCCACCUUCGCUGGUGGGCUUUGUCGCUGUUCCAUCGGCAGCAGUGGCGGCAACGUUCCCGGGAAACAGGUCUGCGUGCAGUCAAGGACGUGGUGCCGUUCGGCGGUGGUCUCCACAGGCCACACCAUGGCAGUCGCAAGAACAGCGCUGCCCCCGUUGCCGAAAAGUUACGGCAGUCUACCGCGAAGAUGCCCAGCUCCUAGCACGUUCCUAGCCGCUGUAGCGACCACCUUCUAAAGACUGUUUCAACGCAUCACAGAAGCCCCCCCCCCACACACACACACACGGCUCUUCCUGUGUCAGGCAAUGCCGAGAAGGAUGAGCGGUCUGGGAAUGGGGCACCUGGCGACGCACGAGCAUCGCGUGACGCGUGGGUGAGCCACCCACAGCGCUUAUCUUUCGGGAAGCAGCAAGGCGGGAGGUGGCAAAGCAACAAAACUCGUACAGCCGCUGCGGCGGCGCUGCGGUCGCUGCCUUUCAUCGACUCUAUUCUUGACUGGAUCAGUGUCGUCCCGCGUGAGAUCGUCAUGAUGCCCGGCGCACCUUCAAUCUUUGCGGAGCGAUGUGCAGAGGGGGAGGGGCCGGGUCGCAGGCGGACGUCUUCAAGACGCAGGAACAGCAGGGACGCUGCGCGCCUCAACAGCAGAGCGUCGUCGCGACAGCGCGCGCAGUGACUGAUGGUAUUGUCAGCACAAGCCAUUCGGGUGCAUGCAGAUAUGAUCCUCCAGAAUGUCUCCUGGCGUUUGUGGGAAAGGGAAGAGAGAUGGUAUCGAGCUGCGUCGGCUACAGAGCCGAAGAAGACUGGCGCACGUAAAGGUGCCUACCUCACAGCUGCUUUUCAUUGAGUAAAACAGUGUCAAAAGGGGAAAAAGAACUACACGCUAUGUUGUAUGAGUACGGUCGCCCUCCCCCCUCUCUGUGCACGUGUGCUUCGCUGGUGAUCGGCAGCUAACACGCCACGCAAAGACGGCCAUGCAAGAAAGGAGGUAGAUUGCGCAUGUGUGCCUCUGCUAGUUGCAUGCGUCCCUUCGUAUCCCACGAUAGAGCCACGCGUUCCAGUGGCGUUGAUACCUCCUCUCCUCC